GACCCAGUGCCCUGCUCCCUUGCCUGGACGGGAACAUAGCUCACCUCCCAGGGCCGUGAGGCAGUACCUACCCGUUGCUCACUUCUGAGGACCACCCAGCAUGCCGUUCUGCCCUUUCUGUUGAUCUGAUCUCGUUUAUUUGCUCAGUGGAUCAGCCUGCAUAGACCUCAACUCCGCCAUCUCACACACGUGUAGCCCUCCCGGCCUUCAUCUCCACCUUGCCCUCCUCCGAGUCCUGUCCCAGGGCUGAUGGUGGGCAGCACACGCUACUGAGUGAGUGGAUGGAGGAACGCGCAAAUCGAUGCCCGAGCCGCCUGCCCUGGUCUGCGCCAAGGAGAUAAUGUGAUGGCCGAGAUGGGCCGCAUCCUUCUGCCACAACGCCUGUGCCUGAACGCAGGGUCCGGGGCCCCAGGGCCUCCUCCCAUCCCUUUCAUUCCUCUCGACUUGUUGUAGUGUUUUUAAUUUGCUAUUUAAUGUCAUUCUAAGUAAAGAAAAAUUAAAAAUUUAUAUUAUUCAUAUUUUGAAUAAACGUUAAUAAAACAAAACAAACAAAUUUUGAAUUUUGAUGUUCACGUAUAUUUUGUGCGAUGCCAGUUUUAAAUGCAAAGUCCCUAGCCUGCAUGCGGACUCACCGAAUUACACUAUUCGUGCUUCGUCAUUUGCACAGUGGUCCCCGCUUAGCCGAGGUUUCCCUCUUCAUGGUUUUACU
Molecule: long non-coding RNA, 709 nt
Filed under: Equus caballus (horse)
Lineage: Eukaryota; Metazoa; Chordata; Mammalia; Perissodactyla; Equidae
Description: lncRNA (ENSECAG00000048264.1)
Source: RNAcentral